Molecule: long non-coding RNA, 461 nt
Filed under: Homo sapiens (human)
Lineage: Eukaryota; Metazoa; Chordata; Mammalia; Primates; Hominidae
Description: HSALNT0096293
Source: RNAcentral
CUGAUAUGUACUCCAGGUACACCUAUUUGGGUUAUGAUAAUUAGGCUUUAUGGAGAGUUUUGUUUACCGUCCCUACUUUGACUUUUGAGACCUUUCUUCACAUUUACGAGGACCUAUUUGGUUUUGCAUGCCUUGGGAGUAGCUGAGCGCUGUGGAUCUCUGCAUUCUUUGUUUUUACUGCAUUUGUCUUUUCUUUCUGAAAUUGUUUUUGCAUUAAAGUUUCAAAUACAUAAACAUUGAUUAUUAUAAGUAUGCUUUGAUAAUGACUGAAAUCAUUGUGAAGACUUCUUUUCAAAUCCAGAUUGGUAGGAAGGUGGCCUGGAGCAGUGGCCGAAUUAAUUGGGUCAGUGGUCAAAAGAAGAGCAACACACCCUCAGAGGGGCCCCAGUGCUGGAAUGAGAGAGAAGCAGGCCUCUGACCUCUGGCUGAGGUGUUGAGCACAGUUCAACAGGAUGACCAUG